Molecule: small nucleolar RNA, 87 nt
Filed under: Oryza sativa (Asian cultivated rice)
Lineage: Eukaryota; Viridiplantae; Streptophyta; Magnoliopsida; Poales; Poaceae
Description: Z168a small nucleolar RNA
Rfam family: Small nucleolar RNA Z168/Z174
About the family: This family consists of several snoRNA Z168 and Z174 sequences which are members of the C/D class of snoRNA which contain the C (UGAUGA) and D (CUGA) box motifs. This family seems to be found exclusively in rice.
Source: RNAcentral
UGUGGGCCGAUGAUGCAAACCUUGCUCCUACGGUCUAACCUGUGGGGAGGAUUUGUAAAGUAUAUUUCCCAAGAGCUGAGGCCCCUA